UAGGGAAUAUUGGACAAUGGGCGCAAGCCUGAUCCAGCCAUGCCGCGUGAAUGAAGAAGGCGCUCUGCGUCGUAAAGUUCUUUUGGGAGGGAAUAAAGGCUUUGAUUUAUCGAAGUUUGAAGGUACCUUCAGAAUAAGCACCGGCUAACUCUGUGCCAGCAGCCGCGGUAAUACAGAGGGUGCAAGCGUUAUCCGGAAUUACUGGGUUUAAAGGGUGCGUAGGCGGUUUGUUAAGUCAGUGGUGAAAUUUCAGCGCUUAACGCUGGCAUUGCCAUUGAUACUGGCGAACUUGAGACACAGUGAGGUUGGCGGAAUGGGACAUGUAGCGGUGAAAUGCAUAGAUAUGUUUCAGAACACCGAUUGCGAAGGCAGCUGACUGGCUGUUGUUUGACGCUGAGGCACGAAAGCGUGGGGAUCAAACA
RNAcentral lists this ribosomal RNA (422 nucleotides) under uncultured bacterium. Its description in RNAcentral is "bacterial SSU rRNA". It matches the Rfam family "Bacterial small subunit ribosomal RNA", at positions 355 to 774 of the family's 1533-position model. The record is from RNAcentral.